RNAcentral lists this ribosomal RNA (381 nucleotides) under Leptogomphus gestroi. Its description in RNAcentral is "partial 16S ribosomal RNA". The record is from RNAcentral. Lineage: Eukaryota; Metazoa; Arthropoda; Insecta; Odonata; Aeshnidae.
GUCUUCUUGUUUUUAUAUGAAGUUUGACCUGCCCGGUGAUAUUAUUUAACGGCCGCGGUAUUUUGACCGUGCAAAGGUAGCAUAAUCAUUAGUCUUUUAAUAGGGGACUGGCAUGAAGGGUUUGACGAACUAUUUACUGUCUCAUUUAUUUUUGAAUUAAAAUUUAAUUUUUCAGUCAGAAAGCUGAAAUUUAAUUGGAAGACGAGAAGACCCUAUAGAGCUUUAUAAUUUAUAAUUCGAGUAAAGAUGUAAUUUUAAUCUAGUUUGGGGUUAUAAAUUAUUUUAUUGGGGUGAUAGAAAAAUAUAAAGAACUUUUUUAUUUAUAUAACAUUGAUUUAUGGGUUUUAGAUCCAAUCUUAUUGAUUAUUAGAUUAAGUUACC